RNAcentral lists this non-coding RNA (166 nucleotides) under Kurthia senegalensis. Lineage: Bacteria; Bacillati; Bacillota; Bacilli; Caryophanales; Caryophanaceae. The record is from RNAcentral.
AGAACUAAUUUCUCGAUUAGCAAAAUGAGAGCGUAACGACUCGAAGUGCUAACUUUAAACUCCGACAUGCGUCCGCGUAUGAAGCUCGGUAAAGUCGGCAAAAUCAUUCCGAAAUGAAUCGAAAGAGGAUCUAUUCCUUGAAUGAGAUAUGCCGGAAGUCCAUAAA